GGAUGAAGAAGAUUAUGAUGAAGACAGAGGUGGUGAUGAAGAAGAUGAGGAAGAGAAAAGCUUCGAGGAGAUGGGAGAGACAAAAUAUCAGAUAGAAGAGGAGAAAGACGAUUCCCUUGUUGAUGAUUCACCAGUCCCUGGAGGUGAAGACACCUCCAAAGAAAAACAAAGAGAUUUCCUUUCUGAGUUGGGUCUGGAGAAGGGAGAUGAUGAGGAAGACUCAUGGGACACUGAGUCUGGCUCUGUCAGUCCCAGAAAACAGCAUGGCCGAGAUCCUGCGAAGGUGCCACGUGUUUCCAUUAUUUCAGGGGAG
Salvelinus namaycush (lake trout) is the source of this 313-nucleotide long non-coding RNA. RefSeq lists it as uncharacterized. The record is from RefSeq and is a predicted model, not a curated record. The transcript has 3 exons. NCBI's taxonomy places the organism in Eukaryota, Metazoa, Chordata, Actinopteri, Salmoniformes, Salmonidae.